AACGAACGCUGGCGGCAGGCUUAACACAUGCAAGUCGAACGCACCUUUCGGGGUGAGUGGCAGACGGGUGAGUAACGCGGGGGAAUCUACCCUUCUCUACGGGAUAGCUCCGGGAAACUGGAAUUAAUACCGUAUACGUCCUGAGGGAGAAAGAUUUAUCGGGGAAGGAUGAGCCCGCGUUGGAUUAGCUAGUUGGUGGGGUAAAGGCCUACCAAGGCGACGAUCCAUAGCUGGUCUAAGAGGAUGAUCAGCCACAUUGGGACUGAGACACGGCCCAAACUCCUACGGGAGGCAGCAGUGGUGAAUAUUGGACAAUGGGCGCAGGCCUGAUCCAGCCAUGCCGCGUGAGUGAUGAAGGCCCUAGGGUUGUAAAGCUCUUUCAGUGGGGACGAUAAUGACGGUACCCACAGAAGAAGCCCCGGCUAACUUCGUG
This 433-nucleotide ribosomal RNA is filed under the name uncultured bacterium. Its description in RNAcentral is "partial 16S ribosomal RNA". It matches the Rfam family "Bacterial small subunit ribosomal RNA", at positions 29 to 507 of the family's 1533-position model. The record is from RNAcentral.